Molecule: ribosomal RNA, 293 nt
Filed under: uncultured bacterium
Lineage: Bacteria
Description: partial 16S ribosomal RNA
Rfam family: Bacterial small subunit ribosomal RNA
Source: RNAcentral
GAUGAACGCUAGCGGCAGGCUUAAUACAUGCAAGUCGUGGGGCAGCAGGGGUAGCAAUACCCGCUGGCGACCGGCAAACGGGUGCGGAACACGUACGCAACCUUCCUUUAACUGGGGAAUAGCCCCUGAAAGAGGGAUUAAUACUCCGUAACAUAUAGAUGUGGCAUCACAAUUAUAUUAUAGCUCCGGCGGUUAAAGAUGGGCGUGCGCCUGAUUAGGUAGUUGGCGGAGAAUAGCCCACCAAGCCUACGAUCAGUAACUGGUGUGAGAGCACGACCAGUCACACGGGCACU